UAGGGAAUCUUCGGCAAUGGGCGAAAGCCUGAUGGAGCAACGCCGCGUGUGUGAUGAAGGGUUUCGGGUCGUAAAGCACUGUUGUAUGGGAAGAAAUGCUAGAAUAGGGAAUGAUUCUAGUUCGACGGUACCAUACCAGAAAGGGACGGCUAAAUACGUGCCAA
RNAcentral lists this ribosomal RNA (164 nucleotides) under uncultured bacterium. RNAcentral's name for it is "partial 16S rRNA". It matches the Rfam family "Bacterial small subunit ribosomal RNA", at positions 355 to 511 of the family's 1533-position model. The record is from RNAcentral.